Molecule: long non-coding RNA, 291 nt
Filed under: Phoenix dactylifera (date palm)
Lineage: Eukaryota; Viridiplantae; Streptophyta; Magnoliopsida; Arecales; Arecaceae
Description: long non-coding RNA (PDAC_LNC010898)
Source: RNAcentral
CAGCUGAGUCAGAGGUUUCGGCAUAGAGUCAUCCAGCUCAGCGAGGUCCACGCCAGACUCAGUCCCAUCAGGCUCGACCUCCCCUCGCCACUUAUGCUAGGAGGAUGAGGACUAGAUCACAGCCAUUAGAUACCCCCUAGGCUGAUGUUAGCACUUUUGGUAUUAGUGCCUAGGAUUUAUCUAGUUCUCAUAUGUAUUUUGUGUUGAUCACUACUUUGCACUUUGAUUGAAGAACAUUGUAUUUUUGUGUUAAUGUACUACAAUGUUCCAUGUUUGAUCAGUAAAAUCUGA